UGUGGUGGAGUAAAUGAUAGUGAUGGUGAAAAUAUAUAAGUGAUAAUAAAACUUAUUUCUUAUUGCUCCUCAUAUUUCUAUCUCUCCUCCUCUUUGAUCUUUGCUUUGGGAGGACAUGGGCUAUCUUUUUCUCUUUUUUUUCAGGUGGGUAGUAGAUACCCCUAAUUCUACUGUCGGACACUUGUCCAUUUUUUCCGCUCAAGUGGGCAUCUUUGUACCCCUAAUUCUACUCCGGACACUUGUCCAUUUUUACCUCUCGUCUCACUCUUUUUCUUUCUUUUUCGAGGUUCCGGGCACUUGCCCCUUUUUAUUUCCUCGCAUAUUUUUGCAUAACCCAUGCCUCUUCUCCAUUGAAUCUUUUCAGAGAGAGAGUAACAAUAUUUGGGACAGUGAGUGAUAAUAUUUUUAAUUUUAAUGAAUGGUGAUGGAUGGUGUAGUGGAUGUGUGCAAGUGAAUAUCUUAAUUUAACCACAUGAAAAGCUCCUAAGGGUCUACACAGCUCGAUCAAACUCAAUGCAAAUAUAAGUAGCAGAUGUUAUAGCAAGUUUGGCUGUGGUAGGUAGUUUGUAAUGCUAGGAACACAUCAUGUGAUUUGUAAGUUUUCAAAAAUAAAUCUCCAGAACUUAAGGUAGUAGGAACAAGAUAAAUAGCAGCUCAAACUUUAUAUUAUGUCCUUCUCUUACCUAGACUUU
This 692-nucleotide long non-coding RNA is filed under the name Sorghum bicolor (sorghum). RNAcentral's name for it is "long non-coding RNA (SBIC_LNC015692)". Lineage: Eukaryota; Viridiplantae; Streptophyta; Magnoliopsida; Poales; Poaceae. The record is from RNAcentral.